GACGAACGCUGGCGGCGUGCCUAAUACAUGCAAGUCGAGCGGAACUGGGGGAGCUUGCUCCUUCCAGUUUAGCGGCGGACGGGUGAGUAACACGUGGGCAACCUGCCCUGCAGAUCGGGAUAACUCCGGGAAACCGGUGCUAAUACCGAAUAGUUUGAGGCCUCUCCUGAGGCUUCACGGAAAGACGGUUUCGGCUGUCACUGCAGGAUGGGCCCGCGGCGCAUUAGCUAGUUGGUGGGGUAACGGCCCACCAAGGCCACGAUGCGUAGCCGACCUGAGAGGGUGACCGGCCACACUGGGACUGAGACACGGCCCAGACUCCUACGGGAGGCAGCAGUAGGGAAUCUUCCGCAAUGGACGCAAGUCUGAUGGAGCAACGCCGCGUGAGUGACGAAGGUUUUCGGAUCGUAAAACUCUGUUGUGAGGGAAGAACACGUACCAACUAACUAUUGGUACCUUGACGGUACCUCACCAGAAAGCCACGGCUAACUGCGUGCCAGCCGCCGCCGUAA
RNAcentral lists this ribosomal RNA (512 nucleotides) under uncultured bacterium. RNAcentral's name for it is "partial 16S ribosomal RNA". It matches the Rfam family "Bacterial small subunit ribosomal RNA", at positions 28 to 523 of the family's 1533-position model. The record is from RNAcentral.